Molecule: long non-coding RNA, 858 nt
Organism: Carcharodon carcharias (great white shark)
Lineage: Eukaryota; Metazoa; Chordata; Chondrichthyes; Lamniformes; Lamnidae
Exons: 3
Source: RefSeq, a predicted model, not a curated record
UAUAAACAUCUCCUGGGAGUUGGAAGGAUCAUUGUAUAAGUAGGAUUGCUGGGACAAAAUGAAUGUAUGUUGAGAACACGGAAAAACUUGUGACAAAACCACAAAGCAAGAUCCAGGAGCUAUGUGUUACAGCACAGUUUGGGAAGUCAACAAAUUAAUGUGAAUGCAGGACCAUUAGUUGAGAAUUAGAUUGGGUUUCAACGCAGGCUGCGGUGACUCAUCAGGCCCAGGCAGCUGAAGAGCACUGUAGGGACAGAAGAAUCUAAGGCUGGACAAUAGGUCUUGGAACCAAGUUGAUGAUGAAUACAUGAAUGAAAGAGGCCAGAGGAGACAAGUCCAGAGUGCAGGUUUCUGAUGUUGCCUGAAGAAAGUCCUUGCUGGGAAAUGUUUCAAUGGACAUUGAUUGUGUUUUGGUACCACACUCAAGUAGCCGUUCUUCAUGUAUGAGUCUGCAGAAUGGUGUCACUGAAUUGACAAUUGAGUGGAAUCACAGGAUCCUGCUUUCUUUGAAUGUUCAUAAAUACAUUAUUUCAUGGCAAUCAGGAGCAGGAACUCUGUUGCACUUUCCUCCUUAUAGCUUGGAUACCGAGGCCAACUGCUGAUUUAACAGAUCAGCUUGCCCAGUACGAACAAGGGAUCAAACUGGAGAUAUUUCUGGACUGUUUAGCUCACCUAUAUAUCCAGCUUUCAAGGCAUCUCUAAAAUUAAGUGUCUAAUCCUCUGUAUAUUUGAUUCAUUGGACAAACCAUUUUUUUUUCAUUGUGCCAAGUCUGGAUUAUAUUUCUAAUUUUACUUUUUAUGUAAAAAUUAGAGUUAAAUUAGGUACAGAAAUUGUAGAAUAUUGUUGCUUCAACCCUG